RNAcentral lists this ribosomal RNA (406 nucleotides) under uncultured bacterium. RNAcentral describes it as "partial 16S ribosomal RNA". It matches the Rfam family "Bacterial small subunit ribosomal RNA", at positions 30 to 526 of the family's 1533-position model. The record is from RNAcentral.
AUUGAACGCUGGCGGCAGGCCUAACACAUGCAAGUCGAACGAGUGGCGGACGGGUGAGUAAUGUCUGGGAAACUGCCUGAUGGAGGGGGAUAACUAAUGGAAACGGUAGCUAAUCCCGCAUACCAUAAGAUGAGCCCAGAUGGGAUUAGCUUGUUGGUGGGGUACCGGCGUACCAAGGCGACGCUCCCUAGCUGGUCUGAGAGGAUGACAAUCCACACUGGAACUUAGACACGGUCCAGACUCCUACGGGAGUCAGCAGUGGGGAAUAGUUCACAAUGGGCGCAAGCCUGAGGCAGCCAUGCCGCGUGUAUGAAGAAGGCCUUCGGGUUGUAAAGUACUUUUAGCGGGGAGGCGUUACCCGCAGAAGAAGCACCGGCUAACUCCGUGCCAGCGGCCGCGGUAAUAC